Molecule: long non-coding RNA, 1483 nt
Filed under: Rattus norvegicus (Norway rat)
Lineage: Eukaryota; Metazoa; Chordata; Mammalia; Rodentia; Muridae
Description: long non-coding RNA NONRATT031066
Source: RNAcentral
ACGUGCAGGAGUUUCUGCCACACAGCCUCUGUGCCAUGCAGUGAUGGCUGUGGGUUCUGGCUGCUAGAAUACUUCAGUAUCUAGCCUGUCUGGUUGAUUGUGCAUGGAACUGACAUGUUAACACCUGAUCACUCCCCCAUGCCCCUUUCCUGCCCCAUCCCUCCCAAGAAGAGACAACUUUGCUGAUAAUCUCACUACUUUUGAAGAAAAGAACCCUUACCCGGUGACUCACCUCCAGAGUGAAAGUUCAACCGGGCCUGCAGUCACUAUCCCUACUCUUAUGGUUCAUAAAAGUCUGCAUGUGUUUUUAUUCUGUAGAGCUGUUACCAGCUUAGUUUUUAAACUCCUUUUGGGGAGCAGGUAUUCAUAACUUAUUCCUGUAAGUUGGUUUUCUUCUUUGUUGGUUUUUACGUGUGCAUAUGAGUGGUGGGUAUUGACUGGGCCAUCAUUUCAAGAGAGUCGAUGCUAAGUUGGAUUUUAUGCUGCUGUCAAUUGGAACUGUCUACUCUAAGUGCCUUUACUUAGGAAAAGCCAGAUCUUGACUUCCUUCUUCACUCAAAGGUUGCUUCACUCUGAGUGGUGAAAUGGUGGUUUUGUUGUAGAAAUACUGCCUUUCAUUGUUCUCUCUGUAUCGGCCUACCGUCUCUGUGGCGAAAUAUUAAAAAAAUGUAAGCUCACAUGGAAGUUUAAGGAUGUCUGUGUUAAUACUCGGAAUAACCCAGAGAAAUGGAGCCCGGAGUGUAAUUCCAGAAGAAAGGAAAGGAGAGAAGUUGUAUAUGUGGCGCUUUACACAUAGGGAGCCAAGAGACUGUCAGAGGUAGGUAGGUUGUUUGUGGACAGCCUUGAACACCCAAAUCCUUACCUCUGGAGUGUAGCCACACACAACACAGAGAGUAACUGAAGCCUAUCUUAAGCAAAGUGAAACUCAGCAUCCAGUCUGUGGCUGCCUAACUGAACACCACUUUCCUGUCCCUUGGUUUCCCAUCUCACCAAUCAGUCCCCAGCACAUCCAGCUACCUUUCAUUCCCUCCACAUUUAUUCUUCAAUUCCUUCAUUUACAUUUGUUUUUAAUUUUUAAUUCGAGUUAAAUUAAAUUACAUCCUUUAAUCUUGAUAACUGUGGUCAAAUAUCUAUUGUUAUACAUAUCUGUAUGUGCUUGUAAGUGGUUCAAUAAUUUGUAACUGUUUUUGAUAUGUCUGUCUGUCUCUACAUAGAUGAACUGAAUAAGAAUGUAAAUAAUAUUGCAAACCAAGCCUGGUCAUACCGACAGCUAAUCCAAGCACUUGAGAGUCUGAGGCAGGAAGAUUAUGAAUUCAAAGCCAGUCAGGGAUACAUAGCAAGUUUCAGGACAGCCUGGGUAUGAGACCCUGUCUCAAAAACAUUUGAAAGCUUGUUGUGCAUGUGUGAGCGAGUGGUGUGCUGGUCUCAGGCUGACACUCGAAGGGUAGUAGAAAUAUACCUUCUGUCCUAUUUUCUGCUUCGC